GUUCAGGUACUGACUUCAAUCAAGUUGAGGAUUUUAAGUGAGAUCUUCAAUCAAGUGAAUCCCAUCUAACAUAGACUGGAUACAAUCCAUUCAAGACUUCCACUAUACUAACAUUUUCUUUCUACAGGACCCCACAUGACUAUCGUCAUCCCAUUUCAGCAGGAAGUAACUUGGAGGAUGCUACACUCCCUUUCCCCAUUGUUGUCACUUAGGACAAUGUAUAUACCUAGUUAGGGAUAGAUUCCUAUUGUUUAUAGUUGGGAUUGGAAGGAGGUGCUCAGGCUUAGACACCUCUUUCAGAUGACUUUAGGGUUUAGUUAAAAUAGAUAGUUAGGAUAUGACAUAAGCAGAUUGUAGUAUCUUCUUAUAUUUCACCUUUAUGAUUGUUAAUUUUGGAUACUUUACACUGUUAAGUUUUAAUCCUCUUUUAGACUAAAAGGGGAAUUGUAGGGGAAGCUGUAGCCAUGCCUACUUAGGGGCUGGCUACAGUGUGCCUGACCACGCUUGUGAGGGCGUGGUCAGGGUGACAUAGAGGACACUUUCAGGGGAUUGCGUUUCUCUUUUGGUUUCACUUUGGUACUUGCUGGACAGACUGCUGCCAUGCCGGUUGCUCUGUAAUCUGGCCUCUGACUCUUUGGGUGUCAGUCUCAUGGAUGUGGACAGAUUUCUGUACCUUUCAACUAAAAGCAAGAUGUCUACUCUGAGUUUAUUUUUAAGGACACCUUCCACUGGCAUCCUCUUCCUGCGAUCACAUGGCAGCUCUGAAGAGAGGAGGAAGAGCAAGAGCAAGAGAGCAAUUUCCUGCUUAUAUUCUGAGUCUGCCUGCUAUUUCACUUCCUGCCUGGAUUGAAAGACUUAUAUUUACUACAUUUCCCAGAAUCCUCCUUGACUCCUAGUCCCACUUAACUUGCUUCUUCAUUGGCCAACAGUACUUUAUUCAACAACCAAUAAGAUAAACAUACACAGAAGGACUUGCCCCAUCAGUUCUUGUUUAAAAGGCAACUCCCUGAAGUCCUAGGAAACAACAUUAUAACUUAAACCAAUGGUUUGCCAUUAAUGAAUUAUUUCCUUAUAUUAACAGCAUUUAAAUGUAAAUGAUAUAAAAAUUCUCUAAUAUAUAUAAUGUUUCUAAAUAAUUUGCUUUUUU
RNAcentral lists this long non-coding RNA (1147 nucleotides) under Cricetulus griseus (Chinese hamster). RNAcentral's name for it is "lncRNA (ENSCGRG00015032185.1)". Lineage: Eukaryota; Metazoa; Chordata; Mammalia; Rodentia; Cricetidae. The record is from RNAcentral.